Molecule: ribosomal RNA, 301 nt
Filed under: uncultured bacterium
Lineage: Bacteria
Description: partial 16S ribosomal RNA
Rfam family: Bacterial small subunit ribosomal RNA
Source: RNAcentral
CAGCCGCCGCGGGAAUACAGAGGGUGCAAGCGUUAAUCGGAAUUACUGGGCGUAAAGCGAGCGUAGGUGGCUUGAUAAGUCAGAUGUGAAAUCCCCGGGCUUAACUUGGGAACUGCAUCUGAUACUGUUAGGCUAGAAUAGGUGAGAGGAAGGUAGAAUUCCAGGUGUAGCGGUGAAAUGCGUAGAGAUCUGGAGGAAUACCGAUGGCGAAGGCAGCCUUCUGGGACAACACUGACGCUCAUGCACGAAAGCGUGGGGAGCAAACAGGAUUAGAUACCCCAGUAGUCCCUGUCUCUUAUAA